CUAUUUUAACCAAAUAACCCCACCCCCAUCACUUUUUCCCCACCAGCCGUAACCUCUUCUUUUCUUUCUCGCGUUCUGCAACUUUCUUCUGCUCAGGGACAUCAAAUUCUCCUUUCCCUCCUUUUAUUCUUUUGUCCUUUAGCAAAGAAAAACAACAGCAGCCCCAUUUAAUAUAUUUACUCAUGAAUGAGGUUGAUGACACUUCAAUUGGGAGAACUCUGAGUUAACAAUUGGGGUAGAAGUUGUGCAUUGAGGGAGGAGAAGGAAAUUCAACUAUUCAGAAUUUCUAUUUCAAUUGUAUUUAAGAUUUACCGGGUGAAGAUACGUUGGGUUGUCGCGCAUUUGCUGAGGACGGUCCAAUUGUUUCGUCAUAGCUAUUCUUCAGCAGCUAUAGGGAGUCAUAGGUGAUUUUAGUUUGGGGUUGACGGUAUUGUUUUAUUUUAAAAGUUGACGCUGAGCGUUGAAUUUUGGUUUUGUACCAUUUCUUGAAAUUGUGGAUUUGGAGAAUAUUAUUUAGCAGGUUAUGUUAUUUUGAGAUUUCAGAAAUACAGAGGAGACUUUGUCGUUUUUUUUUUUAUAAA
Long non-coding RNA from Lotus japonicus, 581 nucleotides. RefSeq lists it as uncharacterized. The transcript has 3 exons. The record is from RefSeq and is a predicted model, not a curated record. NCBI's taxonomy places the organism in Eukaryota, Viridiplantae, Streptophyta, Magnoliopsida, Fabales, Fabaceae.